GACGAACCGAGCGAACGUUGUUCGGAAUCACUGGGCUUAAAGGGUGCGUAGGCGGGCUGCCAAGUUUGGGGGGAAAUCCUCCGGCUCAACCGGGGAAGUGCCUUGAAUACUGGCGGUCUCGAGGGAGGUAGGGGCGUGCGGAACUAACGGUGGAGCGGUGAAAUGCGUUGAUAUCGUUAGGAACUCCGGUGGCGAAGGCGGCACGCUGGACCUUUUCUGACGCUGAGGCACGAAAGCCAGGGGAGCGAACGGG
Molecule: ribosomal RNA, 253 nt
Filed under: uncultured bacterium
Lineage: Bacteria
Description: partial 16S ribosomal RNA
Rfam family: Bacterial small subunit ribosomal RNA
Source: RNAcentral